RNAcentral lists this ribosomal RNA (217 nucleotides) under uncultured bacterium. RNAcentral describes it as "partial 16S ribosomal RNA". It matches the Rfam family "Bacterial small subunit ribosomal RNA", at positions 137 to 353 of the family's 1533-position model. The record is from RNAcentral.
UCGGGGAUAGCCUUUCGAAAGAAAGAUUAAUACCCGAUGGCAUAGUUCUUCCGCAUGGUGGAACUAUUAAAGAAUUUCGGUCAUCGAUGGGGAUGCGUUCCAUUAGGUUGUUGGCGGGGUAACGGCCCGCCAAGCCUUCGAUGGAUAGGGGUUCUGAGAGGAAGGUCCCCCACAUUGGAACUGAGACACGGUCCAAACUCCUACGGGAGGCAGCAUG